RNAcentral lists this ribosomal RNA (277 nucleotides) under uncultured Desulfovibrio sp. RNAcentral describes it as "partial 16S ribosomal RNA". It matches the Rfam family "Bacterial small subunit ribosomal RNA", at positions 1107 to 1382 of the family's 1533-position model. The record is from RNAcentral. Lineage: Bacteria; Pseudomonadati; Thermodesulfobacteriota; Desulfovibrionia; Desulfovibrionales; Desulfovibrionaceae.
AUUGCCAGUUGCUACCAGGUAAUGCUGGGCACUCUGGUGAGACUCGCCCCGGUUAACGGGGAGGAAGGUGGGGACGACGUCAAGUCAUCAUGGCCCUUACGCCUAGGGCUACACACGUACUACAAUGGCGCAUACAAAGGGCAGCGAUACCGCGAGGUGGAGCCAAUCCCAAAAAGUGCGUCCCAGUCCGGAUUGCAGUCUGCAACUCGACUGCAUGAAGUUGGAAUCGCUAGUAAUUCGAGAUCAGCAUGCUCGGGUGAAUGCGUUCCCGGGCCUU